CGUCUUUUGUAAUUCCCGCAUAAAAGAUAUGCCUGCCCAGUGAAAAAUCUUUAAACGGCCGCGUUAGCGUGAGCGUGCUAAGGUAGCGUAAUAAAUAGCCUUUUAAUUGGAGGCCAGUGAAUGGCAAGACUAGGGACACCUAUACCCUGUGUGACAAAAAAACUUUUCAUCUAAGUGAAAAGACUUAGAUAACAAAGAAAGACGAAAAGACCCCGCGGAACUUUACCUUUUCCAAUCUUCACGUGCUUAGGAACACAAAAAUGAAAGGUUUGAUUGGGGCAAUCUUGGAACCAAACAAACUUCCAAUUUCACCAUACAUAAUAAUACAAAACUCAAUAAGGACCUAAAAGAAGUUACCCCGGGGAUAACAGCGUAAUCCAGCUUGAGAGUACGCAUCGAAAGCUGGGUUUGCGAACUCGAUGUUGGCUUAAGGACAUCCACAUAAGUGCAACCGCCAUGACAGGAUAGUCUGGUCGACUAUUAUACCCUU
RNAcentral lists this ribosomal RNA (490 nucleotides) under Toxolasma parvum (lilliput). RNAcentral describes it as "Toxolasma parvus (lilliput) partial 16S ribosomal RNA". It matches the Rfam family "Bacterial large subunit ribosomal RNA", at positions 1817 to 2597 of the family's 2925-position model. The record is from RNAcentral. Lineage: Eukaryota; Metazoa; Mollusca; Bivalvia; Unionida; Unionidae.